CAGUCAUACCAACGGGAAAUCAACCUUUUGAGUUUGUUCUUGUGGGUUUCGAGGAGUUUAAAAGCCUUCGGAUUUGCUAGGAUUGGGCUCUUUUGGUGUACUUUCUCGUACGGUUAGUCAACAUCGGUUUUGAAUGUCAUAAAAUGACUGGAGGAAUGUGGCUUCGAUCUCGCAUCGAAGUGUUAUAACCUUUGGUAGAUGUGAUGUUCGAGACCCGAGGAUUGCAACGGAUACCUUCUGGGCUAUUCGUCUGAUCUCUGAUACGUGCCUUGAUGUCGAAAGCGUGCUUAUGAU
Molecule: ribosomal RNA, 294 nt
Filed under: Funneliformis geosporum
Lineage: Eukaryota; Fungi; Glomeromycota; Glomeromycetes; Glomerales; Glomeraceae
Source: RNAcentral